This 94-nucleotide ribosomal RNA is filed under the name uncultured bacterium. RNAcentral's name for it is "partial 16S ribosomal RNA". It matches the Rfam family "Bacterial small subunit ribosomal RNA", at positions 397 to 508 of the family's 1533-position model. The record is from RNAcentral.
CCGCGUGAGUGAUGAAGGCCUUCGGGUUGUAAAGCUCUUUUAUCGGUGAAGAUAAUGACGGUAACCGAUGAAUAAGCACCGGCUAACUUCGUGC